Carassius gibelio (silver crucian carp) is the source of this 2025-nucleotide long non-coding RNA. RefSeq lists it as uncharacterized. The transcript is spliced from 3 exons. Lineage: Eukaryota; Metazoa; Chordata; Actinopteri; Cypriniformes; Cyprinidae. The record is from RefSeq and is a predicted model, not a curated record.
GACUGUUAUUGUAACUAUUGCAUUGUCCUGCCAUCAUACAGAUUCACUUUGAUUCUGUUAGCCUAACUAAAAUCUGUGAUACGAGCACGGAGUGAGUCUGUGCUGAGAUCACGGAUAACUAUAACGCAAGUCAAUGACACUCUUCUUCCGUGGUCCACACACGGAAACCCAGUCUCACGGCAGUUCGUGAUUUUGUCACGUAAUUUAAUCUAUUUAUUCGUGGCAGGCACACGUUUAUUUCCUUAUUUUCAUGAUUGCAGCACGUUUUUUUAAACUAAUGCAUUUCAACUGGAGGCAUCUUUCGUGCAUCAGCACAAUAUUUUCUGAUUAAUUAUUAUUAUUAUUAUUUAAUUUUUCACAGGACAACAGAAGAAACUCACUGAAACUUGAAAAAAAAAUCGGAGCUUAACUUACUGUACAAAACUGAGCAACAUACUGUAUUGCUGGUGACAAAAACACAUUAAAAAAUUUUUAGCUGUAAAAUGCGCAAUGGUUCUUUUUUUACUUUUCAUUGAUUUUUAUUUUUUUCACAGGCCUAGAUUUAUUUGUUUUUUUUAUUACAGAAUUCAAUAUCAAGUCCUUGACACAUAACUGUAACACAUUUUCACAUUAAGAAACAAUUUAGUUUAAAUAAAAAGAACAAAAAAUAUCUAAAAAUAAAUACAUUAUUUAUUAGCGAUAGGCCUACAGAUUUAUUUUUUUUAAUUUAUUUUUUAUUUUUUUACUUUAGACUCUAAAGUUAAAAGUUUUUAUUAAGGCUAUUGUAAAGGCUUCUUAAAAAUGAUGUCGCUGAUGAGCCUCUGAUCGCUGUCAGAUUCUGUGAUAUGAAUGUCCGCUAAUGGGUUUAGAAUGAGCCCCGCUCGGCCCGUGUUCUGGCUUACUGUAAUAUUUCACCUGUAAUAAGACCGAAAUAAUAUAAUUAAAAUAAAGAAAUGAAUGAAUACAUGAUAACAUCUAAAUAAAUGUUGAAAGAUUUAGCGUUAUAGUUUUAAAAAUAUUAAUAAACAGCAAAUCAACACAGAAAGACCUAAAUAAUAAUAAUACAUAAUUAAUAAACAGCGCCGCCCCUCCCACUACGCGCAUCACGCGCUGUGCGUCAACCCCAAAGCGUCAAAAACUGAAGCGUGGUCAAGCGCCUCUAGCAUCACUGACAUGAGAUGUUUAUCGCUUUGAAAUCACGUUCAAGAAGUCUCAUUCAGCACACAUCGCGAUACUUUCCAUCAGUUUGCAAGAGCCGCAGGUUGGGUGAGUUAUACAGUCUAUGGUGAGUAGUAGUAAAUAUGCUCUUUUAAUGCCUGUCAUAAAACGUAUUCUGUCUUCUUUAUUAAUCAGAUGAGCGCCUUGUGUUAACUCUCUGUAUUACAUCGGUCAUCCGAGGCUGUCUUUGAGUUUCAUUGUGUUUAACUAAAUGAACACAGCUGCUAACUGGUUAAACUCUAUCGGUCACGUGACGUGACGUGACGUGCCACAGACCUGGGAUCCGUUUUAUAUUCAUUUCAGGUUCAAAGAUCUGAAAAGACGUAAAGUAAGCAGUCACCCCAGUGGUGUUUGUGGAGAGGUAUUCCUUCAGAAAUGGAGAAGACAGAAAGCUGCAGAGGCAGGAUUGUUUCCAGAUAACACUGUAGUUCUCCGUCAUGCACAAGGAUUCACCUCUUUAACUCCCCCCCCCCCGCCACACACACACACAGAGAAAUGGUUCCUGGAUCAGUGACUCAAGACUUUGCAGUGGUUUGAUUUCUGCAGAAGAUGUAACUUUGUUUUAAUUAACCUUAUAAUGAAUACAUUGUGACCUUCCAGCAACCCAUAUACUGUACUGUAUACAGAACCAGUGAUGACAACAAUAGUUAAAAAAUAGCAUUUAUCAUAUUGAUAAAGCAUUGUGUUCUCUUUGUCAAGCUUCAUACAGUAAACUUUACUUCUGGUGCUUUUAUCAUAAAAAAGCUUCAGUUCUCAUCAGGAGUUUUAGUAAAGCACAUAUUCAUGCACAGCAAUCCCCUAGUUCCAGUCAUGAAGUGAAUGAUGUUA